This 162-nucleotide small nuclear RNA is filed under the name Dasypus novemcinctus (nine-banded armadillo). RNAcentral describes it as "U1 spliceosomal RNA (ENSDNOG00000036784.1)". It matches the Rfam family "U1 spliceosomal RNA". Rfam says of the family: U1 is a small nuclear RNA (snRNA) component of the spliceosome (involved in pre-mRNA splicing). Its 5' end forms complementary base pairs with the 5' splice junction, thus defining the 5' donor site of an intron. Lineage: Eukaryota; Metazoa; Chordata; Mammalia; Cingulata; Dasypodidae. The record is from RNAcentral.
AUACUUACCUUGCAGGGGAGAUACUAUGAUCACAAAGGUGAUUUUCCCAGGGCGAAGGUGUCCAUUGCACUGGGGAUCUGCUCACCCCUGUGAUGUCCCCACAUGGGGGGAGCUCAACUGCAUAAUUUGUGUUAGUGGGGGUUGCGUUCACACUCACCUGAC